Corythoichthys intestinalis (scribbled pipefish) is the source of this 1686-nucleotide long non-coding RNA. RefSeq lists it as uncharacterized. Lineage: Eukaryota; Metazoa; Chordata; Actinopteri; Syngnathiformes; Syngnathidae. The record is from RefSeq and is a predicted model, not a curated record. The transcript has 3 exons.
AUUAAAUGGAAACUAAAAUGUGAUGUUAAUUUUUAAAACGGCUCAGAUAUUCUGUAAUAACAAUACUGUUUAAAAUGUACUGAGCAACAGCUCAUGAGAAGUCAAUGAACAUUAAAAAAAACACAUUAAGACGGUAUUUGGUAGCAAUGUCUGUAGGACUUUUAUUUUUCAGCUUAAUACGUUACGGGAAAGUGUUCCUUUAGUUUCUCCCGAAACAUUCUCAGGAAAACUCUUAUGCAACUCAUUUAUUUGAAUAUAGUAUUGAUAUAUGUGAUGGCUUAUCUUAACUUGCAAAAUUAUCAAAACAUGAACACUUGAAAAGACAAAGUUUAAGUAAUUGUGAAAAAUCUUUAUUGUGUACAACUUAUGUCAUUUUACAAUACAUAUUGCAGUACUGUAAAAAUGUAUAUUUAAUUCAUGGACUGAUGUUAUGUCCUCGUUGGCAGCCGUCUGUUUAGUUGGAUGACAUGGUGCUGCGAAUCCAGGAGUUGUAGUUGCAGACCCUGGCAUAGACACCAGGCUUGUUCCUCAUAGCGCAACCGUAACCCCAGGACACAACACCCUGAAGCUGGCCGUUGCACACCACGGGACCACCAGAGUCUCCCUGCACAGGAGUCUUUGCCUCCCUCCAAGAAUCCGGCGCAGAACAUGUUGGAGGUGAUCUGUCCAGGGUAGGCGCUCCUGCAGCUGCUGUCACUCAGCAUGGGGAGAUCCAGGCACCUCAGACGAUCAGGGUAGUUGUCUGUAGAGGAGAAGACAAUAAGCAAAUGUUGCUAAAGCAGCAAACGGUUGCUUUGAGUUCUUACUGACUUCCAGAGCCGCUCAUGUUGCCCCAUCCAGAGACCAGACAGCGGGUGCCUGUACCAGCACAGCUGGAAGGCAGGGACACUGUACGCACGUAGCUGUUGAGGGUGGCGGGCCUGCUCAGCUUGAUGAGCAUAAUGUCAUUGUCCAGGUUGCGGCUGCUGUAUCUGGGAUGUUUGAUAACCCUGGCAGAGUUGAUGAACUGCUCCGUACCCUCGUUCAUGGCGAUGUUGUGCUCACCAAGACGUACCUGGAUUCGACUGCACAGAAGCACGCCAUAGUUAGCAGUGAGCAGCAGACACUACCCAGGUGCUGGAGAUCAGGGAGCCUCCACAGAAGUGGUAACCGGCAUUCAGAGAGACCUGGUAGGGCACAGAGUUCUUUCUGCACUCAUAUCCACCAACAAUCUUGUCGUCCUCAUCCUCAAUGGGAGCAGCAACUGCAAUGUCAUGAUUAUUUUUAUACAUAGAAAAACAGAACAAAAAUAUGUAUUUCAUUGUCCACAUGAGAGGAAUGCAUACUCACAGGCUGCAGCACACAAGGCAAGGAUAAUUAAAUACUUCAUGACUGUGUUCCGGAGCCAAUUGACAGACCAAUGGAGGAACAUGAUUGUUGGGUUUAUAUACUAUUCAAACGUAUACCCAAUCUACUCUUUAUCUAAGACUCUCAAGGUUUUUCCCAAGUACAUUGCAAAAUGAUUAAACAUUAGCCCACCUGGGAAGUGUACCAGCAUGACCAAGUGAGAUAUUUUCACUUGCUAUGGUCCUAGAAUGAUAAGCUUCAUUUUCAGUUAUUGGUUUGUCAUGGUGACUUUAGAACUGGCUCAAUGAUCCAAAAUUUAAAAGUGAUGAAUUUGUAUUUUUUUUUUUUUUAAAUCUCAGA